UGACCGCUGGCGGCGUGCCUAAUACAUGCAAGUAGAACGCUGAAGCUUGGUGCUUGCACCGAGCGGAUGAGUUGCGAACGGGUGAGUAACGCGUAGGUAACCUGCCUCUUAGCGGGGGAUAACUAUUGGAAACGAUAGCUAAUACCGCAUAAAAGUCGAUAUCGCAUGAUAUUGAUUUGAAAGGUGCAAAUGCAUCACUAAGAGAUGGACCUGCGUUGUAUUAGCUAGUUGGUGAGGUAACGGCUCACCAAGGCGACGAUACAUAGCCGACCUGAGAGGGUGAGCGGCCACACUGGGACUGAGACACGGCCCAGACUCCUACGGGAGGCAGCAGUAGGGAAUCUUCGGCAAUGGGGGCAACCCUGACCGAGCAACGCCGCGGGAGUGAAGAAGGUUUUCGGAUCGUAAAGCUCUGUUGUAAGAGAAGAACGAGUGUGAGAGUGGAAAGUUCACACUGUGACGGUAACUUACCAGAAAGGGACGGCUAACUACGUG
This 495-nucleotide ribosomal RNA is filed under the name uncultured bacterium. RNAcentral's name for it is "partial 16S ribosomal RNA". It matches the Rfam family "Bacterial small subunit ribosomal RNA", at positions 30 to 507 of the family's 1533-position model. The record is from RNAcentral.